GUUGAAAUCCAGCAGACCAUUGUUGUGCGGCUGGCAUAUGUAUGGCUUACCAAUAAAAAGUGACAACUGGGUUGAAUUAUAGCCAAUGGAGCAUAGAAAAUUCACGUAAUCUUUAGUCGUUAAGUCAUAGACCAGGCCUGGGUCCAUUGCACGGCAAGGCCAGAUGUGCCCGGCACCAUAAUUCAAUGGGUUUGCCUCAAGAAGAGAAGCAUUUGCAAUAGGCUGCUUCACAUUACUGAUCGUUGUCGCUGAAAUGUCAUAAGCAACCACUCAAGCUGUCAAUGACUCGUACACCAAUAACUUGGAGAUGCUAAUGCGAAGAGCAGAAAAGCACUAACCUGUUGUCAUGAUUGCAGAUUUAAUUGCAGCAGGACUCCAAUCAGGGUGCAUAGUGUUGAGAAGACCUGCGAUUCCGGAAACAUGGGGGCAUGCCAUUGAGGUUCCAGAUAUAAAGUUGAAAUGUACUCGGCGCCGGUCUCCUGGCACGUCAGUUGGCCCUGAUGCUCCUGUGAAGGCAGCUAGAAUAUUGACUCCAGGUGCAGUGAUGUCGGGCUGAAAUCAUCACAUGCACUCUCACUAUAAAAAUAAUAUUGAGCAUGUAUUUUAAAACGCUCAUGUGAAUCUAUUAAGAGUACCUUAAGGAUCUCCGGGGUGAUGAAGUUAGGCCCAGGAGAUGAAAAAUCAGCCAUGACAGGUGCAGCCACUGUUCCCACCUCCGUGGCGCCACUUAUGUAAGCUACAGGUGACCUGAGUGAAAAGAGAAGUUCCAAGAGAUUCACAGGAUCACAAACGAUAGAUUGUUCCGGGCAUUAUCGACUGAAAUCAACCACGUUUAAUUGUCUGAAUUACCAAUUAACGUAGGCCUUACUUUGUACUAUAGACAUAAGUUAAAAUGGAAAGUCCAUCGUCAGCAGAGAUAACGGAAGUAGGAACAAAGUGUGCCCGAGGUCGGAUUUGUUGAAUUAUCAAUUGAUUAGCAAGUAUCACCCCAACACCACCAGCUUGAGCAACAACCAGACUCUUUUCUACAUCAGGAUCUUCGUUGCGAGUACAAUAUACAAUUUUUCCUUUAACUUUCAAGGGGUCAAGGGAUCCGAUGGAGCAAUAUUUUCUGCCAAAUACAACAAGAUAAAAAUAUGAACCUAACAACUACAGAAAAUGUAAUUUUGGCUGAGAACAAAAUUAGUUUGCUGCUUACGCUUGAUUACUGGAAACAUUGGCAGCUUUAGCAUCCACCGAAUUGAUCAAGGGGUAAGACUUCCCAGCUGGUUGAGUAUUGGUAUUAAAACUCACACCCUGAUUAUUUAGAAAUUAAUAUAUCGAAUUUCUGGAUCCCAUGAUAGGUAGAACAAUUUACAACGACUUGCUAAAGAUAUGAGCUUACAGAACAAACCUUGUAUUGUUUGUUAUUUCCAAGGAUGACAUUAGAUGUGAAAUCCCUACUGAUAGUGCUAUAACCAACUGUAAGAAUCCAAGGAGCUACAUUCCCAACGACUCCAGGGUCAGGUCCAUCAUUUCCAGCGGCGGCAACUACAAGAAUCCCGCGCUCCAUGGCAAGAAAUGCUCCAAUUGCAAUCCCAUCAGUAAUGUAUUCUUCCUGACCGGAUCCAAGUGACACUGAGAGGAUAUCGACCCCAUCAUGAAUAGCAGCUUCAUAGCCAGCCAACACAUCAGCAUCGCUACAGCGGGGCCAGCAGACCUUGUAUGAAGCGACUCGCGAGUUGGGCGAACCUCCCUUCGCUGUUCCAUAUGCUGAACCAAGUAAGUUUGCCCCCGAAACAAAACGACCUCCAGCAGUGGAUAGAGUGUGGGUUCCAUGGCCAUCAUAAUCUCGCGCGGUGUGGUAUGAAGAAUCAUGUGUUUCUGCUGCUUCGUAGCCUUUGCUAAAGUAUCUUGCUCCUAUAAGUUUCCUGCUAAUAACAACAUAUCUUUUAUGUUACCAAUCUUACUAUAGGAAACGGAAGAAUUUGCCUGCGGUUCAUUAUCAGAGGAAAAAUGAGAAGUUCAGGUCAAGAAAAGAGCUCUGGCCUUGAGAAAGAAAUUAAAGUACCUGUUGCAUUUAAUCCCAUCAUUUGGGUCACAGUAUCCCUUCCAUUUAGACGGAACAGGCCCCAUCCCUUCAUCAUUGAAGCUUUCGGAUUCUGGCCAAACACCUAGCAUCAUGCACAGUCAAGAAUAAUAGAUUGAAAAUUAACCAUCAUUGGAGAUUUUUCUUUCAUAAGCAAGGUAGCUGUAGCUGGUCCAAAAUAAUUGAAUGCAAGAAACAUUUAAAUUAAGAAGAUGAAAUGAUAUGAAGGAGACUUGACCAGUUCUAUGCAUGUACACAGAAAAGUAAAAUUAGAAUUACCACUAUCAAGGGUCCCGAUAAUUACAUCUUCACCAAAUCUUGCCUUUAGCCACAUAGAAUCAGCUGGAAUUUCUCCAUUUCUUUCCAGUCCAAGAAAGCCCCAUGAAUUUGUUGUGUGUAAUUGACUUAUUCGGUUUCGAGAAACUGAUACAACUUCUGGAUGCUCUGAAAACGUAUUAACAAGACCAUAUUUGUAAUAUUAUCAAGGAUUGCACGACAUACGUGCUGAACAAUUAUAAUAGUAUUAUAUAUACUUGAAAUUUCAGCUGCUUCUUCAUCUUCAAGUAUUGCUGCAAAGCCGUUGAUAUAACGAGUGUAGGAGUAAAAGAUGGCUUGUUUCGCCUUCUCCUUGCUGUCAUAACGAAUUCAAACUUGAUCAUCAGUAUUAGAACAACCAAAUACACCAUUGAUCACAGAUCUGAAAUUUUCAGCACUGCAUCACCUCUUCAUACAAGAACCCAAAAGUUCAUGAUGGGCAUCGGUUACCCUAUCCAGGUCAGUGGUGGAAGGUUCAGAAGCAUAAGAUUGUCUCCCAAGGUAAACCACAUAAGACUGUACGUACACAGACACAGGUAUCACUGUCAGUAGCAGAAUUAUAACAUAAGAGAGAUUGCUGAUGUAACUUGAAAGACUAAACGAUCAGACAACAUUAAUGCAUGCUAGCUUGCCUUUUUUGCAGCCAGAAUUGGACUCUGCAAGGUUGUGAAAAGAGUGAAAAACAGAAACAGAGAGCGAGAAGCUGUCCUCCUGCUCAUGCUUGCUUUACUUUUUGCUCUACAAGAGAAUAACGAUUAACACAAACCCUUUAUGCAUAUAGUAUGGCAUUCUAAAAUUACCAAAUAAAAAAAAUGCACAAUAUAAUUAAAAGAUAGAAACAUGAAAUAAUAAUAAUUUUUUAGCAGAAUUGUUAUUAGUUUUUAAUGAGUCCAAUAUCAUUUUCUCCUUUGUGUCUCUGUUCACUAUACUUUAAAUAUCUAGUAGUCUGGGAUGGUUUUUUGAGUUUUUUUUUUUUGACAUUUUGUAAUAAUUGAGGGGCUUAUAUGUGAUUUCAUCUGUUGUGGAAAUUUGGUAAUAUCAGAAUGGAACCCCUGUAGAUCAAAUAAGUGGUUUCCAUCUUAUCAACCCUCGUCUCCUUCUCCUUUACCUUCCAUUUCUCUCACCCUCAAAACCACGGACGUCAAAGCUUUAAAGAAGAAGAGUCAAAGUCUCAAAAAUAACCUCAAUGGUCUUAAUUUUGUCAUUAAUUAAUUAUGUAUAUUUAUUUUACUCUUAAACUUUUAAAAAUUACUUAUUAAUGACUUACUUUCAUCUUUAAGACUUUCCAACUGUGUUUUUCUUUGUGUCCCAAGAUAUUGAAAGAAAAAUGAAAAUUGUCCUUACAUAAUAUUAUUUUCAAAAUAUAUUUUUAUUUUUUAUGUGUGAGAAUUUGGACAUGUGAGUUUGUCUGUUCCUGGCAAUACCCUUCCAAGCUAAUAUUCUAACUAUAAUGUCAGUAGUUGCUUUCAAGAAGUAGAGUCUAAAUUAUAAAUAUUCUAACUACGGUGACAAUAUUGUUUUUAAAUUAUAAAUAUAAAUAUUUGUAUAACCUUGACCUUAAGUUUUAAUUGUUAAUAUUAUUUAUAAAUAAUUCUAUUAUUUGAAUUUGAAUUUUCUAGAUGUGUAUGAAUUUAUUUUCUUAUUCAUGUUUUUUUUUAAUACCUUUCUUUGAUGCAACGAACAAAUUUAGGUUGGAUCGAUAUGAUCUCAUAUAGACCUAUUAAGUGCCAAGGAUGGUCUUUAGAUCCAUAUCAAUCAACAUAAUCUUGAAUAGGUUUAUACCUAUCAAUUUCUCAUCUUUUUUGCGGGUCUAAUGCUUGUUUUUCACAAGUGAAAAUUGUGUCUUGUUACUAGGUUCAAGUCUCAAAUCAUUGUCUUAAGUCAUAAUAGUAUUUUACCUUUAAUAACAAACAAUCAUAUGUCAGUUUAGACAAACUCUUAGCGUGCAAGCACAUUAGACACCUUUAUCAUUAAAAACAAGCAUGAAGUAACUUACCUUAGAUACGAUAUAUAGGUUAAUUAUUAUCUUUCUUAUUAUAUAACCAGCUCCUUACUCAAAACCUUUUCUAUUUUUAACUUUUUUUACAUAUAGUUUAUUGAGAUGUCCUAUGGGACACUAGGUAUGUCAUCACAUUAAGACUUUGUUUAUUUCAUGAAACCACUUUUCAAGAAGCUACUUUUAAAACUUUUCCAUGUUUGGUGAACUCUAGAAAAGUAGUUUUCAACGAAAGAAAAAAAAUAAGUUUUUCCCAAAAUAUUUCUAUCUUUUUUGCUUUGAAAAAUACUUUUCUUUUCUUGACAAAAAAUAAACCUCAUACAGAUUCACCUUUCACAAAUAUCUCUCUCCUUGUCCCUUUUCCUUUUCUUUUCUAUUUUCUGCAGAAUCAAGAUUGAAGCUUCCUUGAAUCCCCGUAAUUUCAGGUAAUCCUCUUCCUCAAAUCCUUUUCUUUAUCACCUUUUCCUAUUAUUUUAGUUAUAUGUUAUCUAUUUUCCUUUUUUAAUUAGAAUUUUUAGUGGUGAUUGUGGAGUGGGUCUUGGUCGAAUCUUGUUAAUUUAGGAUCUUGUUACUAUUCCUCGAAUAUUCUUAAAUUCACUACAAGGUUUAAUGUUAUUUGUUAUCAACUAUUCUGAUUAUACAUUAAAAGUAGAAUUUUCUAGGUAGUAUUACUACUAUGUUUAAAAUGGGUACACUUGUUCCAAAACAACACCUAAAAUAUUUUGGAAAAUUUUGAGGUUAGAUUAAUUGUAGUGCAAUAUGUGAUUUGAUACUAGCAAUAAUUUUCCUGGGUAGAAUUAUGAAGCCUAUAGUAAAAGAAAAAAAAAUUAGGAUAAGUAGAUAAUAUAAAUAGAUCUUUCAUAUUUUUUGACAUCUACAAAAUGUAUCGAUAUCCUUUUGUUCUCCAUGGUAUAAAAGGUUGUCUUGAACAGUGAUAAAAUGUAAAGGCCUAUGCUAUCUACUUGAGUCUUGGACAUGGCUCAAAUUUAUGUUGUAACUAUAUUAUUUUCUUGGUAGAUUUUUUUUUCUCAUUUGUAGAGCUUUCUGUGAAGCAAGUUAUAUCUUUUAGUUUCAAUAAUUGCACCUUUUAGCUUAUUUAAUUAGAUUUUCACACAUUCUAAAAUUUCACUUUAUUAAAUACUAAAGUUACCACAAUAGCAUAACAUACCACAAUCAUUUAAACCUUAUUCUUCACCUUUUAGUAUUACAAGGAAAGAUUUUAUCUACCAACAAUUCUUUCCUUACAAUGUGUUACAGUUCACAUGAUUUUAUACUAUAGUUUGGCUUUUAUUAAGGCUCUUGCUCAAUGAUUAUGAUGUGUGUGUGUGUAAACACACACGUAUUCACCAGGGAUUUACUAACUAACAUUUGGUAGAUAUUGACUUCAAGGAAAGGAACCAAGUGAAUUGUAGUUUUCUUGGUUAUGAUUUUGUAGAAAAAAUCAUAACAUCAAUAACCUUAGACUUAUAUGUAUAAAAUGAGACAUUAAAAGAGAUGUGCUUGUUUAGUUAAAAAGACCUAUCAAUAUUCCUUUUCAUCUUUAUUUAUGAUAUUUGUUGGGUGUGUAAUAACAUUCUGAUUCUUUAUUUUUAUCUCUUAUUAAAAGAAACCAAUGUAAUCAGGUUAACUUGAUAUUCUUUAAUAAUCUUAUUUUUAUGAAAAACUAAUUAAUCAAUUAUAAUAUGCAACUCACAUGUUUAUUUUUAAUACUCUAUAGCCUACUCUUUUCAAUAUUAUUACUAAUUAUGUGGUUGAUAUACAAUGGAGUUUUGGCUAACAGAAGGAGAAGGAGGAGUCUAAACAUUUAUGUUAAAACACUUCUAAAAGAAAUCAUAUUAAAAUAUCUAAAGAUAGUUUAUCAAUAUGAAGAUUUCUUGUAAGGACUAUAUUCGUGAACUAUGUGCUGCCUUGUAUUUUAAUUAUUAUACUAAAAGCUUUAGUAUUCUUUGUAUGAUGCAUCCUGUAACAUAUUAUGAAGCAAUCAUAAUUUCUAAACAGACCUUCUUGAAAAUACAUCAAUGACAAGCUUAUCACUUCAUGAAUUCUUGUUUGUACCAUUUUGAGUCCAAUGUUUAACAUUUUUUCCAGUUUUUUUAAUAAAAAAAUUUCAGUUGGCCACACAUGUCACAACCUAUUACGACCAACUCAAAAUGUAUCUAUUAGAGAGUUAGUGAUUGUGUUCUUACAAAUUAUAGGCCGAAACUAAAGAUUUUGUUUUAUUAGUGGUAUUUACUACAGGUCUAUCGAAAUUAUUCAUUGUUACUUUAGAAUUAUAUUAAAUGCAUAUCUUAAGUUGUACAAACACCUUAUUAAAGACCAAAAAAAUAUGGUUCUUGUAAAAAUAAUGAAUAAUCAAAGAUUUUAUCUUUAUUUUAAGGUAUGUUACCAUUAUUUGUGUACAUUAAUUGAUUACACCAAGAAGAAAAAGUUUAUCAUUAUUGUUUCACAUUUAUACAAGAUUAUGUGGGAGCAAUUGAUGGUACCUAUGUUUUCGCAAAUGAUCAUUUUGAAAUUCAAAGAAAAUUUCAAGGUCGAAAAGAGGAAAUAAAAAAUAUUUUAUCAACUAUAACUUUUGAUUUAAAGCUUACAUAUGUUUUAGUUGGAUAGGAGGAAAGUGCACACAAUUCACGUGUUUUAGGUGAUGCACUGUCAAACCAAGUGGUAUAAAAGUUCCAGAAGGUAUAAAAUAUUUAUUAUAUGCAAUAAAUAUCUAAAAUGUCUAAUUAAAUAAAAAUAGUAAUAUAUUUUAUUUUUAUUUGUAGAUCACUAUUAUCUUAAUGAUGCCAAUUACAACAUUAAAAAAGGAAUCAUUUCUUUUUUUCAUGGAGUUUGAUAUCACUUAAAAUAGUUUACAUACCAUUCACCAUAAAAUGAAAAGGAUUUAUUUAAUCUUCGACACUCUUCAUUGAGAAUCAUUAUUGAGCAAGGGUUUUGUAUUUUGAAGAAUCAUUUUAGAGAAAUUGAUGGAAAACAUUUUUGGUCUUAUGAAACACAAGUGAAUAUUGUGCUCGCAUGUUGCAUUGUUCAUAAUCACAUAAUGGGAGCUGUCUUUUAUAAAUUUUUUAUGGAAGAAAUAUGUUCUGAAAAUAAACUAAUUAGACAAAUGAUCAAUUUAAGCCAAAGGGAGGAGAGAGAAGAAAAUAAUAGGGAGUAGACAACCAAAAAUAAAUGAUUAAUAUGUAUUUGUGUUUUUUUUUAUUAUGCAUUUCUUGAGUUUGUAUUGCUUUUGUUAUGUAUUUGAAUUGUUGAUGACUUUGUUAUAACUUCUUGUGUAUUUGAUGUAUUCUCUUUUAAAAGUUAAUUUAAAUAUUAUAUGAUUUGAUUUUGUAUAAAUUUAUAAUUAUUCUGGAGAAAAGAGUACCACAAAGAAUGAAAAAUAAAAAGGUAAGCACUUCACAUGAUCUAAAUCUAUGUCUUGCAUGCUAUUUAAAAUAUUAGUCGAAGAGACAUUAAAGAAAACAAGUCUUCUUUUAUAUUCAAAGCAAAAUUUGUUGUUAAGAUGGCUAUAUAAAAUAUUAAAAAGCUCAAUGUAUAAUGAGAAUCUAAGUAUGGGAGAAUCAUCUCAAAACUAUAAAAAAAUAAUGGAGAAUAAUAACCAAAUUAAAAAAUAAAUGUUUUAUGUAAAGUGUUUGUAUUUAUUUUCUAUUAAAGAGAUAAUUUCCUAAACCCCUUGCAAAAACAUAUAUUAUCAAAAAACCCAUCAAAGUAUUUUUAUAUCUAUUUAUCCCCAUUUCAAAAUCUUCAUACAAAAAAAAAAUCCAAAUAUCUAACUCUUAUUUUAUACCUUUAACUAAUUUAGCUUUUCAAUAUGAAAGAAAAAUCUACUUUGAGGUUUUAAAAAUGAAAAAAAUAUUAAUAGAUUUUACUUUUGAAAAAUAUUUAAUAAGGUUAUAUAUCUAUAAUAUUAUAUUUAAAAUAUUUAUAUUAUAUGUAUAAUUACAUUUUAUAAAAUAAACUAUAUAUAAAUAUAUGAUAUAAUGAAUUUUUUAUUUUUCACCAUUACACUUUUUAUAUAUAAUUUUUUUUUAUCGAAUAGUUACAUUUAUUGUUCUAUAAAUAUUAGUUAAACUUGAAAAAAAUUUAAUAAAUUAUUUUCAAGUUCAUUUCAUAUUAAAAUUAUUUGUUAGCUUAUUUUUUAUAACAUUAUGAGAUAUAUAAAAAAAUCAAAUUUUUUUUUUUAUAAAAAUCACUUUUUAAAAGUAAAUUAUUUUUCAAAAAACAAAAACAGACGUAAACUUCUCUACAAUUAAUAGUCUACAGUUGAUAAGAUUAUGUCUCUACUGAUGACUAAUCUUGAAAUUUUAUCAAAUAAAUUCCUUUCAAUGUCUCUCAAGAAAAACUUUUGAUGGAGUCCUGAACAACUUAUCUGGAAUUACAGGGUUAUAAAUAGGUUGCAUGUAUCAUCAAAUUAUCAUAGUCUAUUUCUAUUUUUAUGUUAUUUGAUAUCAUAAGAUUUUGUUUAUAAAUCAAAGAUGGUAAGAGUAGCCGAAUAUGAAGUAAGUAACCUAAUCAGUUGUCUUCUCCAUCUAUCGAAGUUGACAAACAGCAAAAGAUAAAAAAAAAACAGAGCCAUAAAUAACAUAAAAUAGAAAAACAAAAAUACUAAAGAAAAUACAAGAAAGAAACUAAACAAAAUCAAUAGAAAGUAGAUAAAAACCAUUAGAAAAUAUUCAUAAACAAAACCAUUUAUUUUUAUUUUAUUGCAAGUUCAAUUACUCGAAUAGAGGCAGAGAAAAAAAAGUUGACAGUGCUUGUUACAUUCGUUACUUGUCAUGACAUGGAACGGGAAUUUGAAGAUCGAUUUGGUGACCAUGGAGAUAUAUAGAUCUCUACACGCUGGCCUUCCACCUCCAAAUCCAUACGCCUGGUCAUUGUCCUUCAACCUUAGGCUGCUACUGCCAUCUUCUUCACCACAACAGGACUCCUCACAUGGUGUUUCCCAUCAGACCAAGUUAUCUCUCCAAACACGUAGUCAUUACUCUUAAACCCUUUCUUAGCCUCUAGAGUGACCUUGAACAUUUUCUCUUCGUUUAUCUUAUCGAACUUCAAGCUUCUUGGCUCAACCUUCACAGAUAUCCCUCCAGGUGCCCUGAUAUUAACUCUAUACAAGCUUGGAGUCCCCACGUUCUUCAAGGUUCGGGACAAUGUGGCCUUGCUUGACAGAUUCGGGACAGUGAUGGAUGGAUAGUUGAAAUCCAGCAGACCAUUGUUGUGCGGCUGGCAUAUGUAUGGCUUACCAAUAAAAAGUGACAACUGGGUUGAAUUAUAGCCAAUGGAGCAUAGAAAAUGCACGUAAUCUUUAGUCGUUAGGUCAUAGACCAAGCCUGGGUCCAUUGCACGGCUAGGCCAGACAUGCCCGGCACCAUAAUUCAAUGGGUUUGCCUCAAGAAGAGAAGCAUUUGCAAUAGGCUGCCUCACAUUACUGAUCGUUG
RNAcentral lists this long non-coding RNA (9811 nucleotides) under Populus trichocarpa (black cottonwood). RNAcentral describes it as "long non-coding RNA (PTRI_LNC002016)". The record is from RNAcentral. Lineage: Eukaryota; Viridiplantae; Streptophyta; Magnoliopsida; Malpighiales; Salicaceae.